RNAcentral lists this ribosomal RNA (273 nucleotides) under uncultured bacterium. RNAcentral's name for it is "partial 16S ribosomal RNA". It matches the Rfam family "Bacterial small subunit ribosomal RNA", at positions 524 to 796 of the family's 1533-position model. The record is from RNAcentral.
UACGAGGGGAGCUAGCGUUGUUCGGAAUUACUGGGCGUAAAGGGCGCGUAGGCGGUCCUAUAAGUCAGAUGUGAAAGCCCCGGGCUUAACCUGGGAGGUGCAUUUGAAACUGUAGAACUUGAGAUCGAGAGAGGAAAGUGGAAUUACGAGUGUAGAGGUGAAAUUCGUAGAUAUUCGUAAGAACACCAGUGGCGAAGGCGACUUUCUGGCUCGAUACUGACGCUAAGGCGCGAAAGCGUGGGGAGCAAACAGGAUUAGAAACCCGUGUAGUCC